GCUCAGAUUGAACGCUGGCGGCAGGCCUAACACUGCAAGUCGAGCGGUAGAGAGAAGCUUGCUUCUCUUGAGAGCGGCGGACGGGUGAGUAAUGCCUAGGAAUCUGCCUGGUAGUGGGGGAUAACGUUCGGAAACGGACGCUAAUACCGCAUACGUCCUACGGGAGAAAGCAGGGGACCUUCGGGCCUUGCGCUAUCAGAUGAGCCUAGGUCGGAUUAGCUAGUUGGUGAGGUAAUGGCUCACCAAGGCGACGAUCCGUAACUGGUCUGAGAGGAUGAUCAGUCACACUGGAACUGAGACACGGUCCAGACUCCUACGGGAGGCAGCAGUGGGGAAUAUUGGACAAUGGGCGAAAGCCUGAUCCAGCCAUGCCGCGUGUGUGAAGAAGGUCUUCGGAUUGUAAAGCACUUUAAGUUGGGAGGAAGGGCAUUAACCUAAUACGUUAGUGUUUUGACGUUACCGACAGAAUAAGCACCGGCUAACUCUGUGCCAGCAGCCGCGGUAAUACAGAGGGUGCAAGCGUUAAUCGGAAUUACUGGGCGUAAAGCGCGCGUAGGUGGUUUGUUAAGUUGGAUGUGAAAUCCCCGGGCUCAACCUGGGAACUGCAUUCAAAACUGACUGACUAGAGUAUGGUAGAGGGUGGGGGGAAUUUCCUGUGUAGCGGUGAA
Molecule: ribosomal RNA, 668 nt
Filed under: gamma proteobacterium ANJC3
Lineage: Bacteria; Pseudomonadati; Pseudomonadota; Gammaproteobacteria
Description: bacterial SSU rRNA
Rfam family: Bacterial small subunit ribosomal RNA
Source: RNAcentral